This is a non-coding RNA of Salmo salar (Atlantic salmon), 202 nucleotides long. The record is from Rfam. NCBI's taxonomy places the organism in Eukaryota, Metazoa, Chordata, Actinopteri, Salmoniformes, Salmonidae.
UUUCCCUCAGGAUAGCUGGCGCUCGAUGUCUCGCAGUUUUAUCUGGUAAAGCGAAUGAUUAGAGGUCUUGGGGCCGAAACGAUCUCAACCUAUUCUCAAACUUUAAAUAGGUAAGAAGCCCGGCUCGCUGGCUUGGAGUCGGGCGUGGAAUGCGAGCCGCCUAGUGGGCCACUUUUGGUAAGCAGAUAAUUUUAGGAUUCUA